CAAGGAGUCCUGCUGCCGUGCGAGUCGACGGGUUGGAAACCCCGCCGGCGCAGCGAAAGCGAAGACCGCGAUCCCGCAUCCACCUACGGGCGGGUGCGUGGCGCAGCGGCCGCCUCUCCUGCGGGAGGGAGUGGGAGCACGUCGGCAGGGACCCGAUAGGUGGUGAACUAUGCUCGGGCAGGACGAAGGCCGAGGAAACUCGGCUGGAGGUCCGAAGCGGUUCUGACGUGCAAAUCGAUCGUCCGACCCGAGUAUAGGGGCGAAAGACCAAUCGAACCGCCUGGUAGCUGGUUCCCUCCGAAGUUUCCCUCAGGAUAGCUGUCGCUCCGUGCAGGAGUCUCGAUCCCGUAGAGAGAAUGAUCAGAGCGAUUCGGGGACGCCCGUGUCACUCGACCUCUCCUCAAACUGCGAAGGGUCGAGGUGGCCCCCUCUCCUGUCGGGAGGAGGGCACUCUUAGAAGGAUG
RNAcentral lists this ribosomal RNA (464 nucleotides) under Trichonephila turneri. RNAcentral describes it as "eukaryotic LSU rRNA". It matches the Rfam family "Eukaryotic large subunit ribosomal RNA", at positions 667 to 1121 of the family's 3401-position model. The record is from RNAcentral. Lineage: Eukaryota; Metazoa; Arthropoda; Arachnida; Araneae; Nephilidae.